RNAcentral lists this small RNA (172 nucleotides) under Romboutsia hominis. Its description in RNAcentral is "T-box". Lineage: Bacteria; Bacillati; Bacillota; Clostridia; Peptostreptococcales; Peptostreptococcaceae. The record is from RNAcentral.
AUAAAAACUAUGAUAAAGAGGAGUAUGUAAAUACUACUAAAAGAGAUGAAGACUCAUAGGCUGAAAGGUCUUCUUAGUAUAGGUUUGCAGAAGGUAGCUUUGGAGUUUCUAGGCUGAACUAGCAGUAGGUUUAGACGGUGGGAAUCGUUAAAAUCCAUAAAGAGCCCAAAUU